AUCGUAAGGUUUGCUGGAGGUAUCAGAAGUGCGAAUGCUGACAUGAGUAACGACAAAGGGGGUGAAAAACCUCCUCGCCGGAAGACCAAGGGUUCCUGUCCAACGUUAAUCGGGGCAGGGUGAGUCGACCCCUAAGGUGAGGCCGAAAGGCGUAAUCGAUGGGAAACGGGUUAAUAUUCCCGUACUUCUGACUAUUGCGAUGGGGGGACGGAGAAGGCUAGGUGGGCCAGGCGACGGUUGUCCUGGUUCAAGUGCGUAGGCUUGAGAGUUAGGUAAAUCCGGCUCUCUCUAAGGCUGAGACACGACGUCGAGCUGCUACGGCAGUGAAGUCAUUGAUGCCAUGCUUCCAGGAAAAGCCUCUAAGCUUCAGAUAGUCAGGAAUCGUACCCCAAACCGACACAGGUGGUCGGGUAGAGAAUACCAAGGCGCUUGAGAGAACUCGGGUGAAGGAACUAGGCAAAAUGGUACCGUAACUUCGGGAGAAGGUACGCUCUUGAUGGUGAAGUCCCUCGCGGAUGGAGCUGACGAGAGUCGCAGAUACCAGGUGGCUGCAACUGUUUAUUAAAAACACAGCACUGUGCAAAAUCGCAAGAUGACGUAUACGGUGUGACGCCUGCCCGGUGCCGGAAGGUUAAUUGAUGGGGUUAGCGCAAGCGAAGCUCUUGAUCGAAGCCCCGGUAAACGGCGGCCGUAACUAUAACGGUCCUAAGGUAGCGAAAUUCCUUGUCGGGUAAGUUCCGACCUGCACGAAUGGCGUAAUGAUGGCCACGCUGUCUCCACCCGAGACUCAGUGAAAUUGAAAUCGCUGUGAAGAUGCAGUGUACCCGCGGCUAGACGGAAAGACCCCGUGAACCUUUACUACAGCUUGGCACUGAACAUUGAACCUACAUGUGUAGGAUAGGUGGGAGGCUAUGAAGACGUGACGCCAGUUGCGUUAGAGCCGUCCUUGAAAUACCACCCUUGUAUGUUUGAUGUUCUAACUUAGACCCAUUAUCUGGGUUGAGGACAGUGCCUGGUGGGUAGUUUGACUGGGGCGGUCUCCUCCCAAAGAGUAACGGAGGAGCACGAAGGUGGGCUAAUCACGGUUGGACAUCGUGAGGUUAGUGCAAUGGCAUAAGCCCGCUUAACUGCGAGAAUGACGGUUCGAGCAGGUGCGAAAGCAGGUCAUAGUGAUCCGGUGGUUCUGUAUGGAAGGGCCAUCGCUCAACGGAUAAAAGGUACUCCGGGGAUAACAGGCUGAUACCGCCCAAGAGUUCAUAUCGACGGCGGUGUUUGGCACCUCGAUGUCGGCUCAUCACAUCCUGGGGCUGAAGUCGGUCCCAAGGGUAUGGCUGUUCGCCAUUUAAAGUGGUACGCGAGCUGGGUUUAGAACGUCGUGAGACAGUUCGGUCCCUAUCUGCCGUGGGCGUUGGAAGAUUGAAGGGGGCUGCUCCUAGUACGAGAGGACCGGAGUGGACGAACCUCUGGUGUUCGGGUUGUGUCGCCAGACGCAUUGCCCGGUAGCUAAGUUCGGAAUUGAUAAGCGCUGAAAGCAUCUAAGCGCGAAGCGAGCCCUGAGAUGAGUCUUCCCUGACAGUUUAACUGUCCUAAAGGGUUGUUCGAGACUAGAACGUUGAUAGGCAGGGUGUGUAAGCGUUGUGAGGCGUUGAGCUAACCUGUACUAAUUGCCCGUGAGGCUUAACCAUACAACACCCAAGGGGUUUUGUA
This 1707-nucleotide ribosomal RNA is filed under the name Vibrio cholerae. RNAcentral describes it as "partial 23S ribosomal RNA". It matches the Rfam family "Bacterial large subunit ribosomal RNA", at positions 1260 to 2925 of the family's 2925-position model. Lineage: Bacteria; Pseudomonadati; Pseudomonadota; Gammaproteobacteria; Vibrionales; Vibrionaceae. The record is from RNAcentral.